Molecule: ribosomal RNA, 497 nt
Filed under: uncultured bacterium
Lineage: Bacteria
Description: partial 16S ribosomal RNA
Rfam family: Bacterial small subunit ribosomal RNA
Source: RNAcentral
GAUGAACGCUGGCGGCGUGCCUAAUACAUGCAAGUCGAGCGAACGGACGAGAAGCUUGCUUCACUGAUGUUAGCGGCGGACGGGUGAGUAACACGUGGAUAACCUACCUAUAAGACUGGGAUAACUUCGGGAAACCGGAGCUAAUACCGGAUAAUAUUUUGAACCGCAUGGUUCAAAGGUGAAAGACGGUCUUGCUGUCACUUAUAGAUGGAUCAGCGCUGCAUUAGCUAGUUGGUAAGGUAACGGCUUACCAAGGCAACGAUGCAUAGCCGACCUGAGGGGGUGAUCGGCCACACCGGAACUGAGACACGGUCCAGACCACUACCGGAGGCAGCAGUAGGGAAUCUUCCGCAAUGGGCGAAAGCCUGACGGAGCAACGCCGCGUGAGUGAUGAAGGUCUUCGGAUCGUAAAACUCUGUUAUUAGGGAAGAACAUAUGUGUAAGUAACUGUGCACAUCUUGACGGUACCUAAUCAGAAAGCCACGGCUAACUCCGUG